RNAcentral lists this non-coding RNA (26 nucleotides) under Homo sapiens (human). Lineage: Eukaryota; Metazoa; Chordata; Mammalia; Primates; Hominidae. The record is from RNAcentral.
UGUGUUUGGUAUGAUGAUAGAUCUUU